This 253-nucleotide unclassified non-coding RNA is filed under the name uncultured Sphingobacteriales bacterium. RNAcentral describes it as "contains 16S-23S intergenic spacer region". It matches the Rfam family "Bacterial small subunit ribosomal RNA", at positions 524 to 776 of the family's 1533-position model. Lineage: Bacteria; Pseudomonadati; Bacteroidota; Sphingobacteriia; Sphingobacteriales. The record is from RNAcentral.
UACGGAGGACCCAAGCGUUAUUCGGAUUUAUUGGGUUUAAAGGGUGCGUAGGCGGAUUAGUAAGUCAGGGGUGAAAUCCUACAGCUUAACUGUAGAACUGCCUUUGAUACUGCUAACCUUGAGUGCAGAUGAUGUGGGCGGAAUAUGACAUGUAGCGGUGAAAUGCUUAGAUAUGUCAUAGAACACCGAUUGCGAAGGCAGCUCACAAAACUGUAACUGACGCUGAGGCACGAAAGCAUGGGGAUCGAACAGG